RNAcentral lists this transfer RNA (73 nucleotides) under Ixodes scapularis (black-legged tick). It matches the Rfam family "tRNA". From Rfam's summary of the family: Transfer RNA (tRNA) molecules are approximately 80 nucleotides in length. Their secondary structure includes four short double-helical elements and three loops (D, anti-codon, and T loops). Further hydrogen bonds mediate the characteristic L-shaped molecular structure. tRNAs have two regions of fundamental functional importance: the anti-codon, which is responsible for specific mRNA codon recognition, and the 3' end, to which the tRNAs corresponding amino acid is attached (by aminoacyl-tRNA synthetases). tRNAs cope with the degeneracy of the genetic code in two manners: having more than one tRNA (with a specific anti-codon) for a particular amino acid; and 'wobble' base-pairing, i.e. permitting non-standard base-pairing at the 3rd anti-codon position. The record is from Rfam by way of RNAcentral. Lineage: Eukaryota; Metazoa; Arthropoda; Arachnida; Ixodida; Ixodidae.
UCCUGGGUAGCUCAGUUGGUAGAGCACUCCACUGGAAAUGGAGAGCUCCCUGGUUCGAAACCAGAACCAGGCG